Molecule: ribosomal RNA, 605 nt
Filed under: uncultured Salegentibacter sp.
Lineage: Bacteria; Pseudomonadati; Bacteroidota; Flavobacteriia; Flavobacteriales; Flavobacteriaceae
Description: bacterial SSU rRNA
Rfam family: Bacterial small subunit ribosomal RNA
Source: RNAcentral
GAGUUUGAUCCUGGCUCAGGAUGAACGCUAGCGGCAGGCCUAACACAUGCAAGUCGAGGGGUAACAGGGAAGAGCUUGCUCUUUCGCUGACGACCGGCGCACGGGUGCGUAACGCGUAUACAACCUACCUUUUGGAGGGGAAUAGCCCAGGGAAACUUGGAUUAAUGCCCCAUAGUAUGGGAAUAUCUCCUGAUAUUUUCAUUAAACAUUUAUGGCCAUUAGAUGGGUAUGCGUCCUAUUAGUUAGUUGGUAAGGUAACGGUUUACCAAGGCAGCGAUAGGUAGGGGUCCUGAGAGGGAGAUCCCCCACACUGGUACUGAGACACGGACCAGACUCCUACGGGAGGCAGCAGUGAGGAAUAUUGGACAAUGGGCGAGAGCCUGAUCCAGCCAUGCCGCGUGCAGGAAGACUGCCCUAUGGGUUGUAAACUGCUUUUACAGAGGAAGAACCACUCCCACGUGUGGGAGUUUGACGGUACUCUGCGAAUAAGGAUCGGCUAACUCCGUGCCAGCAGCCGCGGUAAUACGGAGGAUCCAAGCGUUAUCCGGAAUCAUUGGGUUUAAAGGGUCCGUAGGCGGGCAGUUAAGUCAGUGGUGAAAGUCUUC